RNAcentral lists this ribosomal RNA (254 nucleotides) under uncultured bacterium. RNAcentral describes it as "partial 16S ribosomal RNA". It matches the Rfam family "Bacterial small subunit ribosomal RNA", at positions 364 to 610 of the family's 1533-position model. The record is from RNAcentral.
UUGGANAUGGGCGCAAGCCUGNAUCCAGCCAUACCGCGUGGGUGAAGAAGGCCUUCGGGUUGUAAAGCCCUUUUGUUGGGAAAGAAAUCCUGUCGAUUAAUACUCGGUGGGGAUGACGGUACCCAAAGAAUAAGCACCGGCUAACUUCGUGCCAGCAGCCGCGGUAAUACGAAGGGUGCAAGCGUUACUCGGAAUUACUGGGCGUAAAGCGUGCGUAGGUGGUGGUUUAAGUCUGCUGUGAAAGCCCUGGGCUC